RNAcentral lists this ribosomal RNA (229 nucleotides) under uncultured Lactobacillus sp. RNAcentral describes it as "partial 16S ribosomal RNA". It matches the Rfam family "Bacterial small subunit ribosomal RNA", at positions 134 to 355 of the family's 1533-position model. Lineage: Bacteria; Bacillati; Bacillota; Bacilli; Lactobacillales; Lactobacillaceae. The record is from RNAcentral.
GAGAUCGGGAUAACACCUGGAAACAGAUGCUAAUACCGGAUAAUAAACAGAUGAUGCCUAUCAACUGUUUAAAAGAUGGUUCUGCUAUCACUCUUGGAUGGACCUGCGGUGCAUUAGCUAGUUGGUAGGGUAACGGCCUACCAAGGCGAUGAUGCAUAGCCGAGUUGAGAGACUGAUCGGCCACAUUGGGACUGAGACACGGCCCAAACUCCUACGGGAGGCAGCAGCC